This 98-nucleotide ribosomal RNA is filed under the name Klebsiella pneumoniae. The record is from RNAcentral. Lineage: Bacteria; Pseudomonadati; Pseudomonadota; Gammaproteobacteria; Enterobacterales; Enterobacteriaceae.
GACAACCCACCUGACCCCAUGCCGAACUCAGAAGUGAAACGCCGUAGCGCCGAUGGUAGUGUGGGGUCUCCCCAUGUGAGAGUAGGGAACUGCCAGGC